GUGACCUCAAAUCAGGUAGGACUACCCGCUGAACUUAAGCAUAUCAAUAAGCGGAGGAAAAGAAACUAACAAGGAUUCCCCUAGUAACUGCGAGUGAAGCGGGAAGAGCUCAAAUUUAAAAUCUGGUGGUCCUCGCGGCCGUCCGAGUUGUAAUCUGGAGAAGCGUUUUCCGCGUCGGACCGUGUACAAGUCUUCUGGAAUGGAGCGUCGUAGAGGGUGAGAAUCCCGUCUCUGACACGGACCCAUCUAAAGCUAAAUAUUGGCGAGAGACCGAUAGCGAACAAGUACCGUGAGGGAAAGAUGAAAAGCACUUUGGAAGA
RNAcentral lists this ribosomal RNA (320 nucleotides) under uncultured Cortinarius. RNAcentral's name for it is "eukaryotic LSU rRNA". It matches the Rfam family "Eukaryotic large subunit ribosomal RNA", at positions 1 to 383 of the family's 3401-position model. The record is from RNAcentral. Lineage: Eukaryota; Fungi; Basidiomycota; Agaricomycetes; Agaricales; Cortinariaceae.